AUUUUUAGAACAGUGAUAACAUUCCUAAUGUUUUUUUUUCUUUUCCAUUCUCUCCAUUUCAAUCUUGCUUCAUAUAUAUCUCUCAAGUUCUUAACUCUAAUUUUAGUUAUUGAGAAAAAUAAGAAACUAAGAAAUAGGUUAUUCAAUCAAAGUGGUUGAAAAAUUACUUGGAGUUGACUAUGCCAUAAAAAAGAUUAAAUGAACGGGCAUCUUGGAGAAGAAUAUGUUGGAAAUGCUUGAUUUAAAAAUUUGAUUGAUGAUUUUGCCUAUAGGAGUACGAAGAAUUUUUUUUUAUGAAUGUAAGCUUAUACAAUUAUAUUAGUCGGACUAUUAUGAUUUAAGAUUAGAAAAGAGACAUAUAGAGGCAUACAAUUUGAUGGGGAAUUAUUUCUGAGCUCCCAAUUUUUCCUUUUUCACUUCAUUGAUUUUACUAACGUGCGUGUAAGUGAUGCAUAAUUUGUCUUUUUCUUUUGAACUUCUAAGAGAAUUCUCUCUUUUUUGCUCACAUCGUGUGUAACGACCCGUUUCAAAAAUUUCAUUUUAAUUAGUUAAAAUUAUGAAAAUACUCCUAAUGAUGGAAAUGUUGAUCUUUGUUGACUUUCGUCUGUUGAUCUCGUUGAUACGAACGCAUUGGCGUGAACCGAAUCAAAUUCGGAGCUAAAACGAAGAUGCUAUGAUUUUUGAAUGACAAGGGUAUUUUGGUAAUUUCACCAACGGAGAUAUUUCUCCACUUUGGGUCUCCACAUGG
RNAcentral lists this long non-coding RNA (748 nucleotides) under Malus domestica (apple). Its description in RNAcentral is "long non-coding RNA (MDOM_LNC000921)". Lineage: Eukaryota; Viridiplantae; Streptophyta; Magnoliopsida; Rosales; Rosaceae. The record is from RNAcentral.